Cyanistes caeruleus (blue tit) is the source of this 7192-nucleotide non-coding RNA. The record is from RefSeq and is a predicted model, not a curated record. NCBI's taxonomy places the organism in Eukaryota, Metazoa, Chordata, Aves, Passeriformes, Paridae.
GUCUCCUACAGGCUGAACAGACCAAGUGGCCUCAGUGACUCCUCACACGGCUUCUUCCACCAUCUUCACAGCCCUCCAGGAAAGGCUCAGGAAUCUGGAGGAGGUGAAGCCAUGCUCUGUCUGGAGCCCAGCAGCAGCCCCGUGCCGUCUCCUUGCUCCGGCACCUCCAGAUGGAAGCAGGUGUCUGUGACUAAAGCAGGUGACAUCAAUGUGCUGUACAAUGAAAUACUGAUGAAGCAGCUUCUGUUUGCUGCCUGGGUUCCUCAUCUCUCCAUGAGUUCUGGGUAGAGGGACUUGAACAUUCAUGAAAAUGGUGUCACAGAGCCCCCCCUCUCAAGUCCCCUACUCUCAUUUGCUCAGGUUGAUGGAGCCAGACCAAAUUUGUAGAUGGAGAAGUACAGUUUUGUAACCACCUGAAUAGAACAACACAGUGUCUGCUCCCAGCUUGAAGCAUUGUGGGCUGUAGCCCCCUGCUUUAGGAUGUGAUUGCCCAGAUCUACACCUGCAUUGCCUUUGCUCAUGGAAGGAGUGCACCUCCUCACUGAUAACCUGCCAGGUGCCACCUACCAGAGCAUGCAUCUCAGAACCCUGGAAUGCAUGGAAUUAGAUGAAACUGAACAGUAAAAUCUGCUUAAGAGCACUACUAUUGUACUCCAGGUGCUAAAAGAGGCUGUCCAAAGGGCCAGACCUAAGCUAAUCAGAAGGAAAAGUCCCCUGACUGGUUUCAGAGCGUGGACAGCCACAUUCUCCAUAUCAUCCAAAUUGCUCUACACAUCUUCUCCUGCAGAUUUGUCACACCUACAGAUAUUCCAGCAAUAUUCACAAGUGCUGUCAGUGUACAUGCCGCCACUGAGUGCACUCCACAGGCUUGUGAAGCUGCAUCUUCCAAAUCCUAAGAAACUAUUGUAACCUGGAAUGUAGCAGCAAAACAGACCAUCCUCAUGAUGAUUAUUACAACCUUCUUUCCGUUGUCUUUUAUUACAGAUAUCCUUUAAUUUUUUUUAAGUUAAAAUUACUAGCUUUGACAUUUCUAAAAGAUUGUGUCACUUUGUUUCUGCCAGCACUACUCAGAAGAAUAAAUUCCCAGAAAAUCUCCAUUUUCCUAGAAUAGGAUUUCUCAGCUAAUCACAAAUUUACUGACAUAUUUUCCCACUCCUUGUUGUCAUGUCUUAUCACUGACAUGGAUGAAAACUCAGUCCCUGAGCUUUGCUAAAUGCUUUUCUCUCCAUUCAGGGACACUUGUAAAAUACAUACAGCAGCAAAUUACAUUUAACUGCAUUAUUUUAGCCACCUAUACUCUUCCAGCAUAGUUUUGUGUUCACCUGCUAUGCCUCAGUUCCUGCCCCUUUCCCAGAGCUGCUCCAGAUAAUACAGUGCUCUCUUUGUAGUGAGGAGUGUAGGUCAAGGUGGAAAGGGAGGAACAUUCCCCCUUUCCCAUUUUUCAUUCUUUUGCCCCACCUGCAAACAAAACCACACAUGGACAAACACUGGUGAAGGAAAAUUGAGUAGAAGGCCCUUGGGAAGAAGGUAGAUAUUUGGGAAGAGCGAUGAGGAUGUUUCAGCACCUUUGACACCAUCUCUUAUAAUCAGACAGGUAGGGUCUGCUUUGAUGGAGAAGGGAGAAGAGCACAACCUCUGUCCAAAUCUCAUUGAUCCUUCACCAUCCAGCAAAAUAAAACAACACCAUGCUAGGGGCUGGGUGUUGAGAUAUUUGUGUGCUUGGUAUCAGAAAAGGUGAACAUUCACCUCUGCUUCAACAGGCAAAAUAAUUGGGGAAAAAAAUAAAAAACUUGCCAAAAGUUAAAAGACAAAAGGCCCUACAUUUCUUUUUGAAUCUUCUGAAGUCCUGAGACUGCAGCAGACAACUAUACAAGAAAAAUCCCAGAAAAACAAAACAAAACAAAAAAAAAACCCCACCCAAUAACAGCAACCAAACCAAACCAUGACCCAAGAACGCCCCAAGCAAAGCAGGAAAGAUGACUUUCCAAGUUAACAUGACAGUGUUCAUGAACACACAAAAUCAAAACAGUCCAUAGAGCGCCCAAAUAAGAAAACCUUAAAUUGAAAGCAACCAGUGGCAUAAAAAAAUUCAUGACAGAGCUUACUGUUGUGCUGAACACCUACAUUUAGUCAAAUACACAAUAAAGCAAGAAAUCCCCCCUCAGCCAGCACCAAACUGUAGAGAGAACUAAUUAUUAACAUGCUUAUGAAGUUAGGAAAGAACAGUUUAAUUACAGAUUUUUGUCAAAUCUCUCAGGCAACACAUCUUUCAAUUUUGUUGCUUAGUUGCGCAAUCCUAAGUUUAAUUAAUAUUCUUAGAUGCCUUGUUAAACAAGAAAUUGAAGCACCACAAGUAAGAACAACUCUAAAUGAUAUUAUUAACUGUGCAGCAAUUAUUCUAAUAGACAUUGCUGCACAUGUACCAACAGUGUAAAUCUUCCUAAAAUUUGGGAAACAAAAGGAAUUAAAUAGAGUUGUUUGUGGUUGCUCCAUCAGACAUAUGGCAGUCAUUUGGGUUCAAGAAGGUAAGAGAGGGGUGAGAACUUGGUUUAUGUUCAGAUGUUAAUGGGGGGGUUGUCAUAUUUUUUUAGUUUGCAAUGCCAAAGUAUGAUACUACCCAUAUGAGAUGAGAUACUGCCAGUUUUUCUAGUUCUUCACAAGGCUGAUGUUGAGUUGGACUAUCCCAUCAAGAGUAAAUACAAUUAGACUCACUUCAAAGCCAUCACUUCUGUCACUGUCACUUUUCUACUAGCCUCAGAUUAACAGUGCUGCAGACAAGAGGUGGUGUGCAAACACACACACACACACACAAUCAACAGUCAAAGAACUAUGCAAAAUCACACUACAGCUGUUAAAAAAACCCAAAACCCAAAAAUCCCCAAAAGCCCUCUGCCCAUCAGAAAGGUCACUGUUAUGAGCUUUUUCAUAACUGACAACUCCUUGAUUUCCAGACUAAAAAAACCCAUCCCCCACAAAAAGAACAACACAUGCAAACAAUACCAUAUAUUAAUUUCAGUAGAUUUCUAAAUGCAAUGGAAAUGUUUUAGAGUUUACCACAUGUAGAUGUACAAAUUUCAUCCAUGUGCUCUUUAAAUUUUGAGUGCUGUGGAGAUGAGGUUGAGAUUGUUCAAAUUACAGUGUAGCCAUCAGGGUAACAUUAACCUUUCAUUGAAAAUAAACAGCCCUGGCUUCAUCUGCUAAGCUUAAACAAACUGUAAUGAACAUUUGUAAACCUGCUGUGUGUCUGCCUUCAAAAAGGAGACUGCAAAAUAGUGACAUGUGAAGACCAAAAGGCUUUUAAAUUGUGCCCAGCCACAAACCAGUGAAUAUUUGGUAACAGCAACAUGGCAUGCAGAUAGCAUAUCAGCCUCUGCUUGUGUCCAGUUUAAAACAAGCCCUUUGAUCAACAGAAUUAACCCAUGAAAAAAAAAAAAAAAAAAGACCCCAUAUGGAGUCAACUGCUGAUACUCAUUACAGAAAUCCUUGAAGAAUGGAGAUUCUGUAACAAGCAGCACUCUGACAGAAAAAAAACCAGAAUAAGUAAAAUGCUUUUAGAUUUUAUUUCUUUACUGCUAUGACUGAAAAGGCUUAACCAAAAGGCAAAAAUAUAUUUUUUUUUUCAAUAUGCAAGACACAUUUUUGUAUAAAAAAUAAUGCACAAACACUUUACUACACACAGAUCCUCCCCUUUUCAAAACUCUGGGUUCUUUUCCCUCUCAGCAACCAGGUUCUGCCCCAGCCCUUUUUCCUUUCAUGAAGUUCGUUCCUCACCUUACAGUACUGCAACCAGAGGGAGACAGGGCAAGGAAAGACUUUUGGUAAACUUACUUCAUUCACCUAUUGGCACAGCAGCUAAGCCACCUGACUUAUUGAAUCACAGAAUUAAGUAGGUUGGGAAAGACUGUUGAGAUUAUCAAGACUUCCGCCUCCUGCUGUUGUUCUUAGAGCAAAAAAGGACUUUAAGAAGUUGGAUACAGACCUUCAGUGAAAGAUACAACUUACCAGGAAAAGGCUUGGCAAUGAUGAGAGAUCAUGGGAGAAUUUUCAAGAGCAAAUCAUGAUGAUUACUACAAGUGCUGGCUUUAUGAUUGCAGGAAAACUUAGAGUCUCCUUUUUACCAACUUGGUGCUUUAUGUUCUAAACUGUACAGGAUUUUUUUCUAUUCCAUUUUAGUGUAUUAAAUAUUCUCUGUGUGUGCACAGCAGAUAACACAAUUUUACACUUCAGCUAACCUGCUUCUUAGAAAAAAAGCUGAAGCAAACAUAGAUCAUCCCUUCAAAUAAACCAUGUAAAUUUUCUUUUCUAGACCACCUAGAAAGAGAACCAUUAGCAUCAGAAUAGUCCAGCUCUGUUUACCUAACAAUGAGAUGGCAAAAACCUUUCAACUGGUCAUGCAUCCAAUACCUGUUCUCCUCCCACUUUUACUACUGAAAAUUAACAUCAGGGCUGCGGAACCAUAAACAUAUUCUGGAAAGCUUAAAAUAUCAAAGACAUUGUUCACAACCCUCUCAACACCUUUUCUUUGUAUCACUCUGCACCUUGUCAGGCUGAGAGCUGAACUCAAAAUGUUUGUUCAGUUAAGGCAAAAAGCCAGAAACCUCAUUGCUUGGGAUUUGGUUCAUGUACACCCAAUCAACAUAAUGAUUUUGUCGAACACUAAUUGCUAGACAAGCACCCUUUUUUGUGGUCAUGGGUCAUACUAGUAUUCCAAAGUAAUAAAACAAACAAUAAAUAAACAUUUAAGAAACAGUUUGGUGCAAUACACAGAGAUCAAAAGCAGAUGUAGGAAAUACGGAGGAUAAUUUCCAAAUUUAAGUUCACUCGUGGAAAGUGCUGAGCUUCUUAAGAACUACAGGUAUGAAAUAUUUCAAUAGAUGAAAUGACACUACUGCUGUCCAAAUUGCACACUGAUAUCCUUGCGCAAAUAAACAUCCAUUCACUUUUCAUGACACAAGGCUCUAUAGCAAAGGAGGGAAUGGAACUUCUGUCCAUGGCUGCUAAGUUUCCAAAGUACUUUUGCAUGAGUACUGCAUGUAUAUAUAUAUAUGUAUAGCUAAACUUAUAUUGCACAGUGAUAAAAAUCUUGCUUGGCUCAUAAAGCACUGCAAAAACUACAGAGGUGCCCAUCACUGCCUAAUUAGCUACAAGAAGUGAUGAAUUCUAAAUUACUUUAUCAAAACAGCCACACUGUAAUUUGUCUGUACUCCCUAAGUGUGGCACUAUGUCACAACUGUCUGCAUGAACGGAUUAUUAUUUUUUUUACAUAAAUACAAAUGUCAGUAAAGAAAAAAGACUAAUGAUUACAUUUUCACCUUUUUCAAUGUCACAUUACAAAGUUUUAGUGGAACAGAGCAGCUGUGUUUACACCUGUACUUAAUGAGGUAAUAGUGAUUAUAUCACAGUGUGUAGAAGUGUGGCCAUUGGUACUUACCAGAUAAAGAAAUGUUCAGAUCACACCAUGGAAUGAUACCAAAUCACCUCUCAAGUCAAUCUUUGUGCACAAGGCAUCAAGUUUUCUUUUGUUUUUUAAGAGUUAAGAUGUUGUAUAUUUGUAAAAGACAUUUUGCACAUAUAUAUUUGCAAAUUAUAAUGAUGCAUACUGCAAGGAAAACUGUACCUGCAACUGGUAACAUAUAGUAUGAGUGAAACAAGGAAAAACUUACCUAUUUGAAAAAAGAACACUUGACAAGCAACACUGUCAAGCUACUUUUGCAUCAGUAACUACUGGAGUUUCCACCAGUUUGCCUCCAACUAGAGUAUCCCCACAAGCUAGUACCUGGAAGUGACACAGGGCUGAUAUCAGCUUCACUUUCUAUCACCUACAACUUUAGAAGUCACAUUUUCAAUUUUAUAUUCACAUCCUUAGACCAUCUAAGAGGUCAGAUAGUUCUGCACUGUGAAGCUCCUGAUGAAAAUGAGAUGUACCAUCAAAAUCACACCUCUGAUUAUGGACAUACCAUGGACAAAAUAUAAGUAUGGAAAAUGUAAUACUGGAAUAUUACUGGGGAGAAAACUGCUUAGAAAUCUAAUUAAAGACAAAUCGUAGAAUGCUACUUAGAAAAUGUUACAUUCUCUGUACAGUGUGGAAACUCCUGUUUUCCUUGACAAAACAAAUUAAGAGUGGCUUCUCAAUCAUAAUAACAAAUAAUGUUGUUAAUCCUGCCAAAUUUUAAAUGAAGAAAGAGUAAGUGUAAUCUAUAAAGGACUGUCAGCAAAAGAAAAUUAGCAAACCUAGAGCAAACCCACCUUCUACCACUAGCUCAGCAAGAGUGGCCAGCCUAGGAGACUGAUUUUCUCCUGGCUCCCAGAGGAGUGGGAAUUCACAUUAUUUGUCUUCUUAGUACAGAGUUUUAAAUCAGACUUUCAUGUUAAAAAUUUCUCUAGCUGUACAUUUGUUUUUUGAGAGGUACUAGGAGAUAAUCUACAAUUCUGACAAAAUGUGGUUGGUAUCCAAGCACCUCCCCAGACACACUGGCAUCUGUUUGCUGCUUCACAGGACAAGAGUUUACACAUAAAAACUGAACAACUUGAUUUAUUUAAAAUUCACCUCAAAAUGCAUUGUGUUUAGUUUCUUUUUUAAAAUGAACAUUCAAAGCAUCAAAAUAUUACUAAUUUUAAAAGAACCUUUGUUAAGAAUAAGAUAAUUUACAUACUGUAGAUUGUGGCUGUGAGGGGACAGAAACAACCGAUGGUAGAUUAGGCACAGUACGAAGGCCAACAUGCCAGAAAACAAUGCAGCUUUAUGCUCAACUUUUAAAUGAUCUGGACAAAAUAAAACAAUUUGGCAGGAAAAUGAAACCAAUCACUUACUUGAGGGCAUUUGUAUAAAACAAAAGUGUUAGUAAGUUUUCUAUCUAGACCUAACUCAUUCACACAUUUAAAGAAUUCUAUCUUCUUCCAAAUAACAAAAAAAUGUUUCUAAACCAAGGCAGAUUAUUAUUUGGAACUGGCAUAGUAAAAUAAAGGAUCACAGUAUGCAGAGCUUAAAAUCCUGUACCAGGAAAGAGCAACAAGUGGUUUACAAGGGGAUCAUUUAGGUAUAUUAUCUAAUUUUUAAAAACAGAGAUAUAAAAUAUCAGUUGCAUAGGGAUUUAAAUAUAAGGCCAAGCAGGAGAUUAAAGUAAAAUAGAGCUCAUAAGAAGGGCACUAUGGUGUUAAAACAUAGUAUUUCCAUUUGAAUUAAUGUCUAAUU